This is a long non-coding RNA of Alligator sinensis (Chinese alligator), 198 nucleotides long. RefSeq lists it as uncharacterized. The record is from RefSeq and is a predicted model, not a curated record. The transcript is spliced from 3 exons. Lineage: Eukaryota; Metazoa; Chordata; Crocodylia; Alligatoridae.
UUCGUCCGCAUCACGUUGGGGUUUGCCACGGCUUCUCCAGUUUCCUGAGCUUCUGCUUUCUCCUGAACAACCCUUGUAUGUAAGUAUUUCGAAGGCUCUAUACAGUACAGUUCUUUUCUUUGCUGUUAUUGAUGUCUGAAACUCUGUUCCCUGUGGAGAAAUUUGCUCUCAUUUUACAAAAGCAGAAGCAAGUAGAAC